GUAUGCUGGCAGAAAUGCUCCCUGAUGCUUGUUAAUUUCGAGUGGCAUCAACAAAGUGUUACCAGGCCUGCCUGGCGUAGGAGCUGAGCCAGGGGAAACGAAGACUGCACUUCAAGUAAAUGCUAAGAGUGGUAAAUUCUGCUGCGGAAAUGGGACUAGUGUGUAAUUUUUGCAUUUCAGAGCAAACCCAGAACAAUACAAGAGUUUGGGAUGCACAGAGGAUAGGGAUGGGGAGUGCUGCAUUAAGUAGGGAGAGGGCCCCAUUACAGAAAUCUAAUUGGGCAGGGAAGAAGAAGUUUCAAGGCUCCAGUUCGACACAGCAACGCUUAGAGACUUGCAGCCCUUGGAGCAGGGUGUGGACAGGUCUUUCUGCCUCCGGUCUCACCUCUUCUCCAGCCCAUCCUGUGCACUACUGGCUAAGUAAUCUUUCUAGCAGGGUGCAUGAAGAUGCCACUCUGUACUCAAAAGCCUUCAGGGGCUCUCCAUUGCCCACCUAAUCAAGCACCAAGCCCUGGUAUUGAUCAUACCCUGAAAGAGGUAAGAAGCCUGAAGAUGGAUACUUCCCAUAAGGAAAGGAGUGAUGGAAUCACUGGAAAGGCUUCAGGGAUGCCUCCCUGUUUUGUAAUGCUGGAAGACUGGCAAGGGUUAUCACUAACAGAAAUACUUUUUUAAAGAUCCAGCAAUUUUGUUUAAGAAGGUGCAAUGGCUCCAAGAAGAGGGUCAGUGCCCCUGGAAGCUUCACCUAGCUUUUUGUUCUUGUCCUGGACUUACAUGACAACCAAGAACAUUAUUGGGACUGAGGAGCACUUCAUUGUCACAGUCCCACAUAGCUCCCUUGCAGUUUUGUUAGAUACAGUUCCCCCAGAAUGGUUUGGGGGGACACAAAUUGGCAAUCAGGGACGAACAGGUGCUAAAAUGAGUUUUCUAACCUCAGUCUGGGGUUCAAUAAAACUGGGAAACUGAAGAAACA
RNAcentral lists this long non-coding RNA (970 nucleotides) under Phascolarctos cinereus (koala). RNAcentral's name for it is "lncRNA (ENSPCIG00000036298.1)". Lineage: Eukaryota; Metazoa; Chordata; Mammalia; Diprotodontia; Phascolarctidae. The record is from RNAcentral.